This is a long non-coding RNA of Gasterosteus aculeatus aculeatus (three-spined stickleback), 260 nucleotides long. Lineage: Eukaryota; Metazoa; Chordata; Actinopteri; Perciformes; Gasterosteidae. The record is from Ensembl.
CCAUCCAUCCAUCCAUCCAUUGUCAAACCGCUUAUCCUGCACACAGGGUCGCGGGGGGGCUGGAGUCCAUCCCAGCCAACUUCGGGCGAUAGACAGGGUACACCCUGGAUUGGUCGCCAGCCAAUCGCAGGGCCACACAGAGACACACAACCAUUCACACUCACAUUCACACAUCUACGGGCAAUUUAAAAACCCACGCAGACACGGGGAGAACAUGCAGACUCCACACAGAAAGGCCACUGGGUGGAAUCGAACCCAGG